AAUCCAUGCAUUGGACAUUUUUGAACUAACUCCUUAAAUCGUUCCCAAGCUUUAUAUAGCAUCUCAUCCUCCAUCUAUUGAAAAAAUGUAAUAUCGUUUCUCAACUU
This is a non-coding RNA of Gossypium hirsutum (cotton), 107 nucleotides long. The record is from Rfam. Lineage: Eukaryota; Viridiplantae; Streptophyta; Magnoliopsida; Malvales; Malvaceae.